Molecule: transfer RNA, 64 nt
Filed under: Astalotermes sp. TB-2014
Lineage: Eukaryota; Metazoa; Arthropoda; Insecta; Blattodea; Termitidae
Also listed under: 1 other name
Description: tRNA-His
Source: RNAcentral
AUCUGAAUAGUUUAAGUAAAAUAUUGGUUUGUGGUGCCGAUGAUAUAAGGUUUUAUUUUGGAUU